This 484-nucleotide ribosomal RNA is filed under the name uncultured bacterium. RNAcentral describes it as "partial 16S ribosomal RNA". It matches the Rfam family "Bacterial small subunit ribosomal RNA", at positions 30 to 507 of the family's 1533-position model. The record is from RNAcentral.
AUUGAACGCUAGCGGGAUGCUUUACACAUGCAAGUCGAACGGCAGCGCGGACUUCGGUCUGGCGGCGAGUGGCGAACGGGUGAGUAAUGUAUCGGAACGUGCCCAGUAGCGGGGGAUAACUACGCGAAAGCGUAGCUAAUACCGCAUACGCCCUACGGGGGAAAGCAGGGGAUCGUAAGACCUUGCACUAUUGGAGCGGCCGAUAUCGGAUUAGCUAGUUGGUGAGGUAACGGCUCACCAAGGCGACGAUCCGUAGCUGGUUUGAGAGGACGACCAGCCACACUGGGACUGAGACACGGCCCAGACUCCUACGGGAGGCAGCAGUGGGGAAUUUUGGACAAUGGGGGCAACCCUGAUCCAGCCAUCCCGCGUGUGCGAUGAAGGCCUUCGGGUUGUAAAGCACUUUUGGCAGGAAAGAAAAGUCGCGGGCUAAUACCCCGUGGAACUGACGGUACCUGCAGAAUAAGCACCGGCUAACUACGUG